RNAcentral lists this unclassified non-coding RNA (3104 nucleotides) under Hevea brasiliensis (rubber tree). Lineage: Eukaryota; Viridiplantae; Streptophyta; Magnoliopsida; Malpighiales; Euphorbiaceae. The record is from RNAcentral.
UUUUUUCACACGCUAAACAUACCCACAAAUGAAUUAGAGGAGUAUCAUAAGCUACCGUGGCUACAUUGCAAAUGAUAAAAUUGAAGGGAAACCCAAUUAAGACGAUAAAUGCUAAUUAUACAAAAGAAUAAGUAGAACUUUCUGGUGAAAACCAGUUAGUAGAAAACCUUUCCACAAAAAAAAAACUUUAGGAAGGAAAAAUGAAAACUGCAUUGAAGUGAAUACACACUAUUAAAAGAAUCAGGUUAGCCUACAAUUUCAUCCUUAUAGAGGAGGAUAGAAAUAAGAAGACAAAGAAAAUCCAAGGAAGAGCAAGCCUCCAAUUGUAGCAACUGUCCCUUGCGAGAUCUUAGAUGCUAGCAUGCUUCCUCCCACCACAGCAAGGGAAGUACAGAUAGUGUGUCCUAAUGUAGCCCCCACAGCUACACCAAUUGCAUUUUUGUGGGUUGCCAGCUGCAGAAUUAGACAUUCUAGUUUGAGUAUUAUAUCAGACAUGUACCAUAAAAUGUCAAUUUUGUGUUUGCAUGUUUUCUAGGCUCCCUAAACACAAGCAAGAAGAAGAUAAUCAUAUUUGAUAGUCUACCACAUCAUUUCAAUAUCACCUUCUGGAUUAAAUCAAUCUACAUAAACCAAGUAAACAAAAAAAAUUUUCUUUUGGGAAUCGUAUUAUUGUCCCACAAAAACUUUGGCAUGUUUUCUUAGGUACGAUGAUUCCCAUAUUUCAGAUCAACCAACAAUGUUACACACACCAUUAAGACUCAACAAAGCAGCUCUAUCAUGGGGACCAUAUGCAUUUUCACCCUAAUAGACUCACUAUCAGCCAAGGCUCUAAAAAAAAUAAUAAAUGAAUAAGUAAUAAACAAAUAAACUAAGAGAAAUAAUGCGACAAAUCAGCAAAAUAACAAAAAAUGAGAAUAAAUCACAUAAAGAACUAAGGAAGUAGUCCUAUUGAACCAUGCAGCUAUGUUCUUAACAAAGAUAAAAAACAAGGAGAUGAUGAAAUUGUCAUACAGCAAUUGUUGCAAUCUGGCUGCGAUCUCCCCACUCAGCUAGAAAAGUUAAUAUAAAUGACUGCAGAACAAAACAGAAAUACUUCAGCAAGAUGGUUAUCAAAAAAACAAUCACAUAACACCCAGAAGACUGAGCAUACAAUUAUAUCAAAUGACAGAGAAACUCCAUAUUUCAUGGAACCAAACUGCUGAAAUAAGUCUAGAUGCAUCAAACAUACCUCCAAAAAUAUUGGUGUACAAAAUCUAGAAAAGAAGCGGCGGAGAGUUGUUUUCCCCUGCCCUGCUUCAAGCUUUUCCUCUACCUGAAAACAUAAUAUGCAACUUAGGAAUAAAGAUCAUACCAAACACAAGAAGGGCGACACAUAGUCAAAAGAGGAGAGGGGAGGAGAUUGAAAAAGUUAAUCAUCAACAACGAUCUAAAGAAAAUUUCCCUAAAUGGUACGCAAGCAGAUAGUAGGAGCCUCAACCUACAAUAAUUAGGUAAAUUAACAACAACAAAAACAACAAGGUUAAGCAUUUGAUAAAAGAAAAAAAAGCACAAGAAUGGUUAGGUAUUGAUGCUAAAACAACACUCCUUGUGAAGGAGAAACAUUAGAGAAAAUGGAAACAGUAAUGUUUUACAAAAAUGAAAAUACAGACCAGAUGGUUCAAGAUGACCAGCUCUGCAAGUUCACUGGCUAAUCCAAUAAUCACACCCAUCUAACAGGGAAAGGCUAACUGCCUACCAUAAUCAUUAUGCAGCAAAAACUUUCACGCAACAGAUAAAUAAGAUGAAGCAAGUGAUAAAAUUAGAAGUAGUAAACCCAAAAUCUUCCAUGUCUGAAAAGAAAUCGAAAGCUUGAAAUGGAAGCCAGUGUUUAAACCAAGUUAUAAUACAAUCUCUCUUUUUGUUUAAAAGAUAAUUGCAAUACAGUAAAAUAUGCAGACAUGGAACAAAAAUAGAUAAGUUUUGCACAAUUUGAUAUAUGAAAAUGAAUAAAAAAUUGAGAAUGGGAAAAACAUACUUCUUCCAUUUCUUUUUUCUGGGAUGAUUUUGAAUCUGAUCUCCAAGCAAUGUAAAGUAAUCGCAGCCCAAAAAAUGCAUAAAGGACUGUGGCAGCACUAUUUGUAUGCUUUCUUGAUAUCAAAUUUGGCACAAUCCUACCUAAUCCAGUAGAAAGUACCUAAUUAACGCAUUCAACAACAUUAAGCUUCAUAAAGUUGUCAUUCAGUUAAAAUGCCAUGUGAAUGCAUUGCAUUAUCAAAAACUAAACACACGAGGGACCACUAAAGGAAAAAACAUUAUUCUUUCAAUCAAAGUUGAAACAAAAAUGAAACAGAUGGAUAACUUACUGUCAUAACAAUCAAGGCAGUCAGAGCACCAGACAAGACAAUCGACUUGGGAUGGCGCAUUGCCAUGAGAGCUGCUAUUAUAAAAGUCUCAUCCCCAAUCUCGCUGACGAUAAUCAUGGACAAGCUCGCAAUAAAUGCAUCAAAAAUUCCAAGACCAGAGUCCACUUGAAGUCCAAGACCAACAGAAUUGAUGUCAAGGUCAUUGGCAAGUAUCAUGCCACGGCGGCCCAGAUCAAGCGAUACAGAUGAUUUUUCCUUCUCAUUUUCCUCCACAGAUUCCUGAGCAGCGAUGCAAGGAAGAGCCAGAAGUAGGAAGAAUGAAAGAAGGAGAAGUCUAGGGCAAGACCGAAACCCCAUCAUAAGAAAGAACAGAAGGUGAAGCGGAUGCCUAAGCCUGUGUUUGGCGAGAGAGAAAAGCAGGGGAGAUUAAAGGGGUUAAUUUUUUCGGGAAAGUGGAUCAGAAAGGAAGAAAGGAGAUAAAGGAGAUGGAAAUGACAAUCCAAAUACAGCUUUACAGGGAUUGAAAGGUACAGUUGUGAAGUAAUGAGAUCUAAGAAAAAAAAGAAAUGGAAAGAGAGAGAUCUCUUGCGAAGACUGAAGAUCCCCAGAGGAAAUAAGGAGUCAGAGAGAUUGUGCAAUAUAAUACGAAUUGCGCGUGAAAUGUAUUACCAUAAAAGUUUUCACUUUUGUCCCACUACUCUUUUGGAUAUUACACACUUCCCCUUUCUCCUGCUGAAACCAACUAAUAAUAAUAAUAAAAGA